This 17616-nucleotide long non-coding RNA is filed under the name Coffea arabica (coffee). RNAcentral's name for it is "long non-coding RNA (CARA_LNC007906)". Lineage: Eukaryota; Viridiplantae; Streptophyta; Magnoliopsida; Gentianales; Rubiaceae. The record is from RNAcentral.
UUUUUUUUUUUUUUUUUUUUGUCGAUACGAUAGCGUCCUACACUAUAGCGAGGGGGAGGGCCGGAAGAGGUCUUGAAGUAAUCCGAAAGGAAUUGAACCACUAUCGGACCAAACGGGUGCACAACACACCCGCCUGAAUUUUUUAAACAUGGCCACAUUUAAUUGUGGCACCAAGCCUUAAUGCAUUGCCAAAGGCUGGUGGUUAACUCAGGACUGAAGUAGCCUUAACUCAGGACUGAAGUAGCCAAAGUUGUUCUUUGGCAAGUCGAAUCUCGUCUCCUUGACCAUAUUACACGUUGUUCUAAUCCGUCCACACCUGCAAAAUUUCUGCAUUUACACUUGACCAAUCUUGGAAAUUUCUGUCCUUAAGUGCCAUCAUUAGGCUGCAUAAGGAAACUCUCUGCUUUCUCGGAAAUGGGCCUCUUUGAAAAACUUUUGUCUGGGUCUUGCCUCAAGCUAUUGUAGUGGUUUUUUAAAGCAUAAUUUAUGGGUUCUAGAAAUUGGGAGGUUAAACCUAUAUCUAUAUGGUAUGCAUUUUCCCAUCAUAGUACGAUUGUAGUUUCAAUAGUGUACUUCGCUGAAUUUGAAAUCUCAAGUCAAUUACCAUAUUAAAAUUGACAAUGAAGAAAAAAUUCUGGUGUCCCUCUAAUAAAAUCUUCUUUUCUUGAGGCUACUUCAGUGAGGCCUUCACUUCCUUUUUUUGUAUGAUUUUAGAUUAAGCAAAACAUUUGUUUGCUCAAUACUCUAUUGACCAAUCUCAAUUAUCUAUUUUUUAUUUUUUUGGACAAACCCCGUGUAUGGGGGUAGAAUGUCAGUCCAAUUUCAGUUAACUUAAGAAGCUAAAACUUAAAAUAAGUUUUUAUGACUAAAGAGAGAGCACUGUUUAAAAAAAAAAAAACUUGAUGAAAUUCUGAUUUCAAAAGCCUUAGUAAUCUUGACGAUAAUAAUAUACAUAUACGUCAGUUCAAUUAUCUGGAUUAGGCCAUAAAUCAAACGUGAGGGAAUUCCCAGCUUUUUUAAUUCAUUGCAUUAGCUUCAUUUAACCAUCUGUUUUAAUUAAAUCCAUGUCAUUUUUUUGUUUUUUAGGUGUGUCCCGCAGGGAGUGGACCCCGCAGACUAUUCACCACCCUCAGCAACUUGCUGGCAGCAAGGUUCGAACCAGGGACCUGAAUCUCCAUCUUCAGCAAUCUCAACCACCAGACCAAGCCCCUGAGGGCAAUUAAAUCCAUGUCAUGAAAGAUGGUAGAUGACCUUGUUAAUCAUGAUGUGAACUCUUAAUUUAAUUGACAAAUUGGAGCAAUGUCCACUAAUCAUUCUUUUUGUAAAAAUCUGUUCAACUUGUGAAGGUCUUCGAGCAUAAAAUAUUGCAAUAAUUGAAAUAAUAUUACUAUUAUUUUAUUUCAUGUCUUAUUGGCAAGAUAACUUACUUUAUCUCAAGUGGAAUUGCCAUGUUUAAAUACACGAGUUGUUUCUUUUAGACCUAUUGUCACCGGGCAUGAUGGAGGAGAGAGGAAUAGAUUGAAUAGUUUGAAAGGAAGAGAUAUAAGUGAGAAAUCUCGAGUUCAAACUCCAAUACUUACACUUGAAAAAAAAAAAAAAAAGGCAUGACAUAGUUGUACCUCCCCAGAUAAAUUUUCUAACACGGGUAUUUCCUUCUUUUAUUUAUUUUCUUUUUUCGUUCUUAGUUGAUGGAAAAAGACAUACAAGUUCCAUUUGUGUUUUUUGACAAAAAAAAAAAAAAAAGUUCCAUUUGUGGAAGUUGUACACGUAUGCUGACUUUUCUCCAAUAGAAAGUUUGAAUUCCUAAAAACAAAGAAAGCGCCCUUUCGAAGUCUAAUGGGGCCACAAAAUUUGUGACGGUCACAAAAUUUAUCACAAUAUGUGACGGUUUUCAUUGAUCAGUUUCGAUGGAGUUUCUAUUCACAUCGAGUCUCCACAUCCUCCCCUUAGAAUAGACUAGUUUAGGUUAUAGAAAUUCUAUCGUAUCACCAAAAAAAAAAAAAAAGAAGUCUAAUGGGGCCACGUGAUGAUCUAAUUUUAUAUAAAUGGUUGAAGUGUAAACGAAGAAAUUUUUAGGUGUGGACAGAAUAAAAUAACAAGCGUUUUGGUCAAGGAGACGAGAUACUACUAGCCAAAAAUAUACUCCAAUUAUUUCGGGCAGCAGAAUUGUGGCACGUUUUUUUGCCAGUAAGGAUUCUUAAUCUUGGUCAGUCAACUUAAAAUGAAGUAAACGAUGCUCUUUAACAUGAUACAAGAAAGGCCUUCUUUGGUUCACUAAAUAGAUUAUACAAAAAUUAUUCUUAUCAUAAAAUUAACCCCAACGAAAUGUGCACGGUCUUCGCGAGAACUGCCAGUCAGAUUGAAAAGAGGCUCCAUGUACCUUUCUAAGGAGCAAAUAAGGAGACAAGGCAAACGCCAAAGGGCUACCAAAUUGAUGAGGCAGACAAUUACGUGUCAGCUGUGCCCUAACAUGUUUUAACAAAACCCCUUAUAGAUAUGUAUUUUUUAACCCUGCCAUUCCUUUCUACACCUGUUCUGUUCCUAUCUGUCGAGCGAGAUCCUGUCAUAGAUAUGUAUUUUUUUUUGUCGUAACAAUAGGAUUCCUAUAAGCUAAUCUAACCUAAUCUAGAGGGGAGGGGGAGGGAAUUCGAUGUGAAUAAAAACUCCAUCGAAAAUGGCCAAUGAAGACCGUCACAUAUUGUGACAAUUUUUUGGUAGAAGGCAAGAUUCGAAUCCUUGACCUCCCGCACCACCAAGUCUAAGAAGGCCUGGGAGUGGCCUAUCAUAGAUAUGUAGAUAUAUUUGGAAAAUUGUUAAAUAUAAUCGAGAUUAAGAGUGUCAGAAGCAUUUUCAGAGUUCAUCUUGUCAAGUUAUGGAAAUUCUGACGCAUUACAAUAAUAUGGUUAUGAAUUUAAUAAGGGGAGGAUUGGGUUGAGUGGUAAAAUGGAAAGAAUUGUAAAUAAAAAGUUAUGAAUUUAAAACCUCUCAUUUAUCCACAGAGAGAGAGAGAGAGAGAGAUUCAAAAAGAAAAAUAACCGAAACGAUUCAAUAAAUAAAAUCUCUAUAUUCUUACUACAGAGGAGGCUCGUAUUGGAAUUUUGCUACUAGUAGCUUCCCAUGAAUGCGUGAUUCCUAAGAAUUCAUUCGUGUAAGCAAUUGAAAAUGCGCUUUUAACAUCUUCUAUCUUUUAAUGUAGUGAUUUUUUCUUUUUCAUAAAUUUCUUCAUCCAAAAUAAUAAACGAGAAAAAAAAAAUAAACAGAAUUCUUGGAUGCGGGCAAUCAAUUUUCAGAUCGGAUACACUGAUAAUAAUCUAGGCAGCCACAUUUAGUGGUCUGGUCUGACCAUUCACCAUGCAGAUUUGACUGCUUUCUAACUGAAAUUUAGUGAUUUAGUGCUGGGGUUUUACCCUUCAUCAGGGAACAUAUGCUCACUUUUCCCAAUAAUUUUGAGGCUUUUGAAAUUGGUUUGUGAAAUUUUGUCCAUUAUUCUCAAAUAACAGAAUAAUAAGCUACAAGGUACCUACUACCUAUGAGGUUUGGCAUCUUGUUCCAUCUCAAUUUGCCAAUUCUCUCUGAGGAUGAUGCCAAGGUAAGUUCAGCAGCUGAUCAAGAUGAUCAAUUACCAUCUUCUCAAGGGCAACUGCAUUUUCUGGAUCACUUUGACGACCAUAACAUCCCCAGCUCCCAGCACUUGGCAAAAACUUGCGAUGUUUUAAGAAAGACAUGAUAUGAUCAAAUUCUUUUUUGGUUAAUUGAAAAGAUUAUGCAUCAAAUUAUUUUUUGCCAAGUAGAAUCUCGAAAGAGUCCCAAAAACUUAUGGCUGCAUCAGUGAGCUAAUCCCAACGAAAUGUGCACGGUCUUCGUCCCAAUGAAAUUACAGUCUAUUCGUUCAAAAUGUGUUACUUAUAGGUGCCCCUCACUGAUGCCGGUGCGGGUUUCUGAGAUGCCCAACAAUUACAGCUCAAAUCAUCCAACAGGGAUUUUCGGCCUUUCGAAAUUGUUUGCUGCCCAUAUCAAUUUCAAGGUCAUUUGCAGCUGGAUAAGCUUGAAUUCGGGCUGCCUAGGGAAAUGAUAGGAUAUUAUUUGUUAGUAAUUUUAUUAUUAAUUUUUUUAUUCCUGUCAAAUAUUAUGUUAAUCGUCGAUAUCUGCUCAUUCUUGGUAUUUGGAAUUAAUUUCAGAGAUUUGGAGCAGAAAACUACAAAAAAGGGGGACUUGCUUCAUAAGUGGGAGACUUCAAAAAAGUCCCAUGGACCUGGCCCACAAGGGACAAAGAAACGGAUUUGGCUGAAGAAGUGACAGGGGAUUGGAGCGGCAGAACGUUCUUUUGGAGACUUUGGCCCCCUAAUUCGUAGGGCCCAUCUUGUGCGCUUAGCUUCUUCAAUCCCGCGGGAGACCAAGGACAAGGAAAAGUGAGCACUAGUCAUUCGGCUAAAAAAAGAAAGUAACGCACGGAGGCUUGAAAACAAGAAGAAUUCGGCGGGCUUGUGGCUAAUUUGUGGGGACCACGGAAGAUAGGAAAGGCGUUAGUCAUCUUUGGCUUUAAAAAGAAACAGACGAAUAGGCGGCUCUUAUCACUAGCUCUUAGGAUAGUUUUAGUUUUAGUUUUUCCUUUCCUUCCCUUUGUCAACUACGCGCCAACUGUUCGAGAAUAUUUUUCAACGGAAAAAACAUCUUUUAUUCCUUACUUUCUAGUAAAAAACGUAAUGCCUUUACAAUCCAUUAAUUUGCAUAGAGAUUUAUUUAUGCGUCAUGGCUAAACCUUUCAUUUAGUCAAGGAUCAACUCAACGGUGCAGUCUCGAAAAUCUGUGAGAUCUAAUUAGUUUUCACGCGUUCUUUAAUUUAUUAAUAUUUACACGUUGUCUACUUGAAUUUUCAUGAGAUUAUUUUAUUAAUUGGAUGUCAAUGGCCCGAUGUUCAAUGUGAUUUAUUAAUCUCAUGCCAAUUUAGCCAAUUAAAUCCGUAAUUAUUGGAUUGAUUAAUAUUAGUGGCAACUGGUGUGUUUACACAUUAGGGGAACGUGCAAUCUAAUUUAAAUAAUUCCUGCUAUAUUCGUGCUAAUUAAUUAUUUAUUUUUAGUUGAAUUGUUUAAUUGUUUUCUAGUUUUAUUCUGGUGAAAUUCCCCCUUACCCAUUGGAAUUUAAAAGAGUCAAAUAUUUCCAGUCCCUGAGGAGACGACCCUACUCGUCACUGUCUACUAAUUAGUAAUUUUUGUCAACUAAUUAAUUCUAGUAUAUCGGAUUAAGCAAACUCUUCGGAAACAGGGUGAAUCAAGUAACCCAUUGCACACUUAGAGUCUCUGCUCCAGUACCUAAAAUUAAUUAUUGACUGCUUUUAAUAGUAUUUAGGUUUUUAUUAUUAUUAUUGCACAGAUUCAACGACCUGUCAGGAAAGCUGCUUUUCAUAUUGAUUAAUCAAUGGCCUAUGAGUCCAGCAACAAUCUAAAAGGGCGCACGUAGAUGUCUGAGGAUUGACCAUGAAGACUUGGACAAUUUUCUAACUGCAAAUUGAGUGAUUUAGUCCUCGGAUUUUACCUUCCAUCAGGGAAAUAUGCUUAUUUUUCCCAAUGAUUUUCAAAAUGACUUGAACCUGAUUCGACUGCUUCUACUUGAAAUUAGUGAUAAUAGUCCAGGGAUUUUACCCUUUAUCGGGAAGCAAAUGCUCAGCUUUCCCACAAAUUUGAAUGAUGGAUUGGCCUGAUUUUCACAUGCAUGCUGUGAAAUAUGCAGUACUACUGUGAGGUUGACAUUCAUCCAGGUCAAUGCAAGUGGAAAUUGUAAAUUAACAUGUUUAUGGGGUACAAUGUAAGUAGUUAGUUAACGAGCACCGGACAAAGGAUAGGAACGGUUGUCUCAAAUAAUAAAUUGCCUAAAAUGGGCCAACGCUGCUUAAUUUCAAAUUGUACGGAUGAGAUAACAUCUAUAUUUUUGACGUAACAAACAUAUAAGACCCGCGCGAAAAGCAUAUGACUAUAGCAUCUCUAUUGUAAAAUGGGCCAACACUGCAUUUUCUAGGAAGUACCUAACAAGUUCGAGACCACUUUGACGACCAUAACAUCCCCCACUUUAGGAUGUUGGAACGGACAACUGACACCUUUCUUGAAUUUCUGAUUGAGUUUUCUUACAAUAUCCGGGUUCCAUUUUACCUUCAGCUCAAACUUCUCCACGUUUGGUGAUGUCCUGAUCAAAGACGUAAAUCCAAUGAAGCUAACAUCUUCUGAUGCUUGAUUAGUUAGUAAGGUUGCUUGCUUAGGUAGGCGAGGAAGUUCAUGGAGCUUUAAUUUUUCAUAAGACAAGUAGGUGGAUAAGGUAAGAACCUCCAGGUUCAACAGGCAGAGCAGGAAAGCCAAGAAACAGCAUCCUUCGCUAAGUAGCCCGGGGGCAUUAUCAAGCACUAGAGACUAGAGAGUGCGCUUGAGUAAUUGCAGUGAGACUAGAUUUGUAUCCCAGAAAAUGACCGAUUUUAAUUUGGUACAAUAAACUAUCUCCAGAUGUUGCAACAUUGCAAGAGAUGGACCUGAGACUUGAAGAUUUAUCAAAUCGUAACAGCCUUGCACUACUAGUCACACAAACAAGCAAUGGGUAGUUUGUGCAAGUAGAAUUUCAAGAAUUUUGCCGGACACAUUUCACGCCCAUCAAACUCAGGGUUCUGAGGGAAUUGAACUCAACAGAUUCACCAGCAUGACCGCUCAGGCCAAUGGAGUCAAGUGAAAAAGUAUACGCGUUAAAGUAACAACGAAACAGCUCGUCAAACUCUUAACAAGUCCAAUUCUAGCCAAUCAACUCGCCAUGCAAAGGCAUACUGAAGCCACUGGUCAAUGUUCAUGGGAAUGUCUGUCCAAAUCAAAACAAACCCUGAAUUCAUCAAGCAAUGUCAAGGAUUUGUGUGAUAUAUAGCAGCACAUUGUUCACCCGCUUAAUAUACUUGAGCCUUACCCUUUUGCAAAUUUGCUAUGCUUUUUCACUGAUAUGGCUUGUAUUCCUGCCAUCUUGUCUAACGCUUUGGACGCAUCAACAUCAAGCACUUACUCUCGCUGCAGCUUUAAGCGGCAGAAACGAUAUAAUUCAACGAAGAAUAUCAUCCGGUAGUUCACUGAUCACAUCCACGACUUGUUGCUCUCUGUUUUUGCACUUCUUCAGGCCAUUCAUCGAUCUAGAAUCAGAUGCAAGUUUCACCCUUCGGGGCCCCCUCCAGUGACCCUUCGCCCCAUCAAGAUUAAUGCUUUCCCAAAAAUAUUCUAACCAUCAAAUCUAUAUGAUUCUUGCUUCCAUUUAUGUAAUUAAGAGAAUUCCUAAAAGAAUAAAAUAGGAAUUUAACUAGCUUUGAUGCUUCAUGUUAGGAGAUAAUUUUGUGGAAGUUAGUUUCCUUUUACAAUGGAAAUGUUUAUCAGAAUAUGCGUUGUUCUUAGGAUAGGCUUCAGAAAUUAUGACAACAAAAGGAAAGAAAAUUUUAAGUGGUGAAUUUAGAAAUUAAUCAAGUGUUGGUGAGAGAAUUUCUUGGAGAAUAGUUAUUGUAUAAACCCAUGAAUCUAAUAUUAUGAAAAGAGAAGUUAUGGAAAAGUAGUAGGCCUCAUCAAUUCAAGGAAUGAAAUCUUAUUGUCCGUAAUUUCAUUGAUCGCAUAUAUGAUGGGAUUAUCUUAUGCAAGUCGCUGAUGAAGAGGACCUUAAAAACAGAUAUUAUGGAAUGAAUUUGCAAAUUAGCCAGGGAGCAUUAUUAAUCGUCACAACCAAAAGAGAAAAAAGGAAAAAUAUAAGAAAGAAACCCCAAAAUUUAUACACGGGCAGAAGUCGAAUUUUAUGACCGCAAUCCUUAGAAAAUAGACAGAUUAUAUAUAUCCAGGCACUGAGAAAACUACCACCAAUUUGUCUUAAUUGCUUCUGAAUCUUUCACAUGGCAUGAUGGCUCUUUGGCCUUGUUUCUUCAAGAUAGACCUGCUGAAAAUGAAAAGGGAAACACAAAGCAUCAAUGCUUGCACAUGAGUUAUUUACGCAAAAAGCUUUAUAGUUAAAGUGCUGAUAAAUUCGCAUGCAGAAUUAAAGUCAAAGGGUAUCUACGAGAUAUUAAUUUAGGAAGUAAGCAAUAGCGGAACCAAGAUUUGAUAAGAGGGGGAGGGGUGGAGGAAUUUAGCAUAUAAGAAAAUCUUUAUAUGAGUUAUCUAGGUAAUAUAUAACAAGUUUUAUUUUCAUGCUUAUAUUUAAUAUAUAUAUAUAUAUUUUUUUUUUAAAAGAUAAUUUGUACUCCAAAUGAAACUUAACAUGAAUUGACCCUUUUCUUGCUUGCCAUAUGGUUUUCAAAUAGAAAAAAGUAAUUAUUUGUAAAUAAUAUGGUAUUAUUCAAACUACAUUUUAGAUGUUAUAAGGUUCAAAUUAUGAUGACGUUAAAAACAUUCUUCAAAUAUGCCUUUUCCUUUCCUGUUUUAUUCCCAUAAAAUGGAAAAAAAUCAUAAAUAAAUUUAUUUGAUUAUAGUUUUCCUACUAACAUUUUACUGAAAAAGUUUGAAAGUGUACAGUUUUAUUUGUUCUUAAAGGAAGUUGAUGGAGCAAAAAUGUAUUUAAAGAGGAGAGAGAAUAGAAAUAUGUUUAAAAUGAAACUUUGUUUUUGGCACCCGGGGGUGAAGAUAUUCAACAAAAGUUUUGAGGGGUAAAAGGAGUUAAAAUAAAUUAUAUAGGUCCAAAUGAAUUGUUUCAAAGGUUUAGCGGGGUGACAGCCCCUGUUGGUGUUCCUGGCUCUGCCUCUAGAAGUAAGUUCUUUUUUUUUUUCCCCUUUUUAUCCUCCCACCCCUCCUUACAUCUUUUCCUACUUCCAACUGCAAGAUUUAGAUUUCAAACUCUGAACCUGGCAAUGGAGAAAACAUCAAAAGCUCCUCCUUGAUCAUUGGGCCAAUCUCAGUGGUUAAGUUUAUUACUGUACAGUUGGAUGAAAAUGCAAAACAAAAUUGAAAAAAAGUUGCAUACAACCAAAAUGAUGAAGAAACGAGAUUUAUGUGCACAUAAGGAAAUCAAAAACACAUGGGAGGUAAAUGCAAUGAGUAGAGGGCAAAAUGUUUUGCUAACCAAUUAAGGAAGCUAGUUGUUGUGGAGAUCCCUAUUCUGGAGGAUAAAAGAGGAGCUUAAGGUCAGAGCCAAAAUUCUGCUGAAUUUCCCUUGCUGAGGUAACCAACUUGGAACUGGUACAAUACAGCUCAAUUUCUUGGAGAGUGGAUAUUUCUCCAAAUUCAGGUGGGAGAGCCUCAAGGACAGUGCAGUGCCGUAGGAAAAGGCUUUCCAGCUUUGGAAAAUGAUCAGCUGAAGUCUCCCAUACCUUCAAAUCUGUAUGACCUAUAUGCAAUACUUUCAGAUUUGGAAAACCCUCAUCUUCUGUUUUCCAUCUUUCUCCCUUGAAUGCAUUGUCUUUCAAUUUGAUCACCUCAAGCAUCUCCAAUUUCCCCAGUGUAGACAUAUGUACCCAAUCAAGCGAGGUGUUUAGUAGGGUCAACUUUUUCAGCCUUCUUGGAAACUUGGUUGGUGAAGGAAGUUGUUGUAACUCGAAUGUUUGAUCAGAAUUCAAUAGCUUCAGAUUUUCAAGCUCUUGCAAUCUGGAAAGACUAUCAAACAAGCUAGAUUCACCUCUGGCAUUGAAAAGACCAGCUAAUUUCCCACGGAUACCCAAUUUCUUGAGCUUAGGAGUCCUGUCAAACACUUCUUUCGUGCAACUUUCUGGUGAGAUUGUAGAAAGGGUUCGAAGGUUUGAACUGCUCAUGGCCUCGUCCUUGGACUUCUGCACACAUGCCGAUGCAUUAGUGUGCAGAUGCCUUAGAUGAGUCAUUUUCCAAAUAUCUGCUUUUAUAUCAAGGAUAAGAGAUGAUGUUUCAAUGAUAACAGUCUGCAAGUUCCAAAGAUCCAACAUUUUCUCAGGAAGGACCUUGAAAUGACAACAGAUGGCAAUAUACUUCAGAAGAAUAAGCUGAAAUAGGCCCGAAGGAAAACGAGUGAGAAUUAUUGAUCUGAUUUCCAGAACUCUAAGCAAUUUGAAGGCCCUAGGGAUGGAUGAGACAUAUUCUACAGGCAUAGGGAUUUCUUCCUUGGCAAAGCAGAGAAAAGAGCGGACAUGUGGACCAAAUGGUCUUGAUCCUAUGUAAUCUAAAACAGAAUCAUUAACACAUAUGCGGCGGAAAGCAUCCGAAGAAGAGCUUACAGAUUGGGAAAACUCUUUCAUUUCAUGGAAAAGAUUUUCUUUUCUUGCCUCCAUCUUGCAAAAGUCACGCAAUGUGUCAUGAAUUCGACAAGUUUUAAUACGACCAUCCGAACUUCUGCGUCCCACCAUCACUAAAUUCUUGUCAACUAGGUCCAUCAAGUAAUACUCCGCUAGAUCUUCUAAGCUAAUACUUUGAUGGCUUCCUAUAAAACCUUCAGCAAUCCAUAAUCGCAGCAAUCUCCAGACAGGGAUAUCAUAGUCUUCUCGAAAGACCCCCAUGUAGAGAAAGCAUGGUUUUAAGUGGUGAGGCAAGUUAUUGUAACUCAAUUUGAUUACAUCAAACAUUUGCGACAUAUCCCUUGCAAUAUAUUCUGUCAUACCUUCAGAUACCCUCUCCCACCAGCGAAGGUUGUGUCUAUGAUUCAACAGUAUACCUGCUAGUACGACAAUAGCUAACGGCAAUCCGCCGCAUCGCUGCAGAAUGCGUACUUCAUGUUCCUCGAGCUCUUCUGGGAGUUCACUCUGACCGAAAACCUUAUGCCGUAGUAACAUUCGACUUUCCUCUGGAUGCAGAAAUCGCAUAUAAUAGGGUCCAAUCUCUGCAUUAGCAUGAAGUGCUACAGAUUUGUUUUGGCUAGUUAUAACCACUCUGCUGCCGUUACCAUCGUCAGGAAAAGCACGCUUGAGAUCAUCCCAUGCUUCCGUGGUCCAAACAUCAUCCAGCACAAUCAAGUACCUCAUCUUCUUUAAUUGCAUAUUAAUUAGUUGCGCCAAGUCUUCGUCUGGCAUUUUUUUCCUUUCUUCAGUGACAUGGCCAAAGCUGUUGAGAAUUCUCAGGAGCACUUCCCUUCUAUUGUAUUCUUGAGAAACAUUAACAAAUGCUCGAAGAUGGAAAUUAUAUGCAACUUUUGAAUCAUUGAAUAUCUUUCUAGCUAGUGUUGUCUUCCCCAGCCCAAACAUUCCAACAAUUGAGAUUACCUGUAGCCGCCGUGGUCCCCGAGUGAGAAGGUCGAUCAUUUUUUGUGACUCAUCCUCAAGGCCAAUGACAUUUUCUUCCUCCACCAUAACGAUCUAUUACAUGAGGAGAAAAGUCAUCAAAAAGAGUUGAUGCCAGUUCAGGAUGAAACAAGAUUAAUCAGGUACAUGCAAACACAAUUGAAUGGUGAAAUGAUCAAAUACGAAUAAAACAGAACUAGAAAUUACUAGUCUUCCACCAUAACCAUAAAAAGAAAUUGAUUGGUUGCAAUGGGUCUUGACGCUAUUAGGUAUAGCAAUGAUAUUGGGAGGGGCCAACUCUUGUCGGAAAACCCAAAUGUUGCAAAUUUUCAGGUAAUCGAAAUCUUAGUCAAUAUCUAAUUAAAUCAAUCAGUUUGAAUUUUUAAGUUGCAGUCACCAACCUUUUUUGCCCUCUGCUUUAAUUGUUUAGGUUGACAAACCAUAUAGGUAACAAAGUAACAUCUUAUACCAUCAACAGAGUCAGAUCUAAAUGGUAGUUCUUGCUCAGAAGAGUACAAGAGGAUUCACUAGUACAAAUAAAUGAACAGCUCGCACCCAUAUACGUAUGUCGCCAUUUCUGAUUCUAGGAAAGCAGUGACAAAAAGGAUAAAUUUUCUUGCAAAGAAUUUCUGGAUUUUGGUAGGAGUGAAAAGUUGGACAAAAAUUUAAAAAAAAAAUGCUGUAUUCAUUUCUUUUAUUGGCGUAUUUUCCUUUUCUGUUUCCAUCCCAAAAUUCAUAAUCCAUACUUACAGAAAAUGAAGCAAGCUGUCAUUUACCUUUUCCCUCUUUGGACCCGUGCUGGAGGCUUCAACAAUUUGCAUAGAUUCAAUCCCAAGAGGCACCAUGUUCUUGUAGAUGUCCCGCACAUACUUGGUCACUUUCUCGAUCUGUUUCCUCCCACGUCGAAGUUCUGAUGCAUCAUCAACGGCGUGGAGAGCCCUACUGAUUGAACUCCUACGUUUUUGCAAGGAAACACGAACUAUGUAUGUCUCUAUCGCAUCCUCAGCAUCAUAAACCACAGACUUGAUCUCGCCGACCACGUUUUCAAGGACUGCGCUGUUGGUUUGCUUCUGUGUACAGUCCUUGAUGAAGGCUUUCAGAAGCUCAAGAUCUUUGCCAAGCACUUCAACGUUGUCCUUCACUCCACUGAUCAAAUCAGAUUGGUAUUGGAUUAACUCCUUGAGAUUUCCUAACAGAAAUUCCACUGCACUAUCUGGAACAUUAGCCAUAUUUCUUCUUUCUUUCUCUCGGGAGGUUUGGGAGUGAACAAUUUGAGAGUACUAUUCUUUCAACUUUUUCUGAACCUUGAAGUGGUUACAUGAAUAAUGUGCAUUGAACUGGAAAGUUGACUCGGCCUUGGAGAUGGUAUAAUAAAGGGCAAAUUAUCUGAUUGGCCCUUGAACUCUUUGUCUAGGUAAAAAUAAGCCCCUCAUCUAUUUUUUGUUGACUUUAAGCCCUCGAACUUGAUAAAUUGGGUACCCGUGACCCUUUUAGCCAGUUUCUUUGAUUUUAUAAGUGGAAGGCCUAUUCACACGAAUGCCAGUGUGCUUUUUCAAAGGGUAUUUUUGUCCGCAUCUUCUAAGCAAAAAGGGAACCACCCAUCCCCGCCCCUCCCGCCCCUUUCUCUUCUGUUGCUUCUCCUCCUUCUCCACCACCUCCCCUGCCCCCUCCCUCUCCCUGAUAUCUUUGCCACUAUCACCUCCCCCUCCAACUAUUUUAGCCCCCAAGAGACAACGCCGCCCCAGUGUUCGAUUAGGUGAAAUCGGCCACCAAUCUUUCGAAAAUCAUUCCUACCAUCCUCGUCGCCCCUCCAAAACUUGGCACUUCCAUAGAGACCCUUCUCUCGCUGCCAAAACCUCCAAGUCCCGACCUUUAACCAACCUCGUCAACUGUGCUGCCCCCUGCCCCCGACCGCAGCUACCACCACGAUAACACCAAUAGUUACGCCUUCGACUUCUGCACUAAAAGGACCAAGACCAAGAAGCCCGCCACCAAGCAGGUCAGGUCUAAUUGGGCUUCUGCUCCCAAAUUCGAAGCUGUCGUACCCAACGGAGGUUUAAUGCUUCCCCAAAACGAAUAGGGAUUUACGAAUAAUCAACAUUUGAUUAAAAGUUAGAACUUUUUUAUUGUUUAACUUGGAUUUGGGUAUUACAUUAGAGUUUGACUUGUUUGGAUGAAAAGGGGUAAGGAAAAUGCAGUGUGGUUUGACUUAUAGGGGGGAUGAUAUCGGAAGGCUGGAGGUCAGCCAUGUGAGAUGUUUCAAACAAGUGAGUGAGAGAAUAGUAGAAAAAAGCAUAGUGGAAGGAGGAGGAGAAGGACAGGUGGGAGAGGUGGAGAAGAGAGCAGAAGUUUGCGGGAGGGAAUCUAGUGGCGUGACUACUUCAGUUCUACUACCACUACCUGGGCACCGUGUUGUGCUAUUGAAAGUGGUUCUCCAGUCCGGUUGUCCUUCUAACCCUUUUACCCCCUUUCCUAUCGUAGUUCGACUUGUUUGGGCGGUGUGUUUCAACUUGUUUGGGCAGGUAAAAUAUCGUAGUUCGACUUGUUUGGGCGGUGUGUUUCAACUUGUUUGGGCAGGUAAAAUGGAAGGAAGAAUGAGGAGUUGUUUUCUUUUUGCUUAGAAUAUGUGGACAAAAAUGCCCUUUGAAGAAACAUAUUGGCAUUCGUGUGAAUUUGCCUUAGGCUUGCAAAAUCGGAGAAACUGGCUAAAAGGGUCAUGGGUGCCCAAUUUAUCAAGUUCGAGGGCUUAAAGUCAGUGAAAAAUAGAUGAGAAACUUAUUUUUACCUAGAUAAAGAGUUCAAGGGCCAAUCAAAUAAUUUGCCCUAUAAUAAAUGUUUCUUUACACAGCAGGUUUUAGAUCAGGACGAAUACGUGUGAGUAAAAAUUUGAUGGCAUCAGCCAUCAGGCCAUUAGGCGGGCCUUCCCCAGUCCUGGACGCCACUAGCUGAUAAUUAGUACAUUUUCCAAUUUUUUAAUGGAUUAGUUUAAGUUAAUUGUUACCCUACAUUAGCUCCAAUGACGGAGCUAGGGAGGCAUGGCAUCUUGUAAGUUUUGAAAAUUUUAAUUCAAAAUAUGUAAAUAUAUGUAUAAAAUAAAGUUAGCUCCCUCUAAUUUUUUUUAUAAUUUUAAUUUGUAUUAUGAAAGUUUAUAUAUAUAUAUAUAUGUAUGUAUAUAUGAAUUAGCCACCUUUGAAUUAAUUUUUGUCUUCAAAAAAAGUUAUUUAUUUUUAUUGUGACAAUUAUUUAACUCUCAAAAAAAAUUAAUCAUAAAAUUUGAUGAUCCAUAGUAUAUUGAUCCAAUUUGACAUAUUAUAAUAAAAAAACCCAAUUCAUAAUUAUCAAUGGGUUACAUCAGAAACAAUUACUGUGUUGGCUAGUAUACAAAUAUACAAUUUAGCUCAAUUGAUUAGACUUGCUUAUCUUCUUCUUCAUCCAAUUACAGAACAGGCAUUUUCAAUUAUGAAAAUAAUCAAGACAAAGUUUCGAAACAAGAUGAAAGAUAAUUUCUUAAAUGAUAUAUUGCCUAAUUGUGUACAUAGAAAAGGAAGUUGCUGGAAAAUUUAGCACUGAUUCAAUCAUAAAUGAAUUUAGUUAUAUGAAAGAACGUAAAACUCAUUUUAUUUUUAAGAAAAAGGUUAAAAUUUCAAAGUAUGUUUUAUCUUUUUUUUUAAUUAAAAAAGUUACUUUUAUAUCACAUAGUUAUAUAUGUGUGUGUGUGUGUCUAUAUAUAUAUAUAUAUAUAUAUAUAUAUAUAUUGCAUAGGCGACAUAUUGGAGUACGUUCUCAUAAUGUGCAACUUGGAUGGUUUGUGAUGUUAUAAAAUAUUUAAUCAAAGGUUAUUUCUUAUCUUAAUUUUCAUUAUGACUGUGUUGCAUAUUUAUAAAAUAAACAUACCUUUAUAAUUAAAGUUGAUAUUUGAUAUUUUUAGAUGUCAUAUAUUUAAAUAGAUGAAAAUUAUUUUGAACAUAAUUUAUUAAAAUAAUUUUGUUAGGGAAAAUUUUGACUCCCAAAGAAAAAGUCCCUGGCUCUGUCACCGAUUAGCUCAGACCAUGUUAACUUUGUGACAAUCAAAUUGGAUUAGUUUUAAAGAUGAAUAGUUUGGUUUACUCUUAAUCUUGCACUUUUAUUUAAUAAUCUUUGCCGUACGAAAAGCAUAGUACGCUGUGUUUAUCAAAGAGAAAAAAAAAUUGAAAAAUAUAAGUGUCACAGAUCAUGUUUUAAUUUUUUUUUCCCCUUAGUAGGGGAGGGGCGAGAAUAGUGAGAAAAAAAUUUGAAAAACUAGUGAGAGCGUACUUUGGAUGUUGUAAAGACAUUUCUUCGUAGAAUUUGUACCAUUUUCAAUAUACGAGUCGAAGGUGUUUCAUAUUUGUGUGAUUAAUAGUAAUCUCAUCUUCUCUCACACACAAAUAUUUGUCAAUGUCCAAAGAGGCAGCUGCGGACUCCCGUAGAAAAGCCGUCUUGGCUUUUGUCAAAAAACUUUUUCGUCAAUCUAACUUUGUUGUUUGAUUUCCAGUAAUUUCGAUUAUUGAAAAAAAAAAAAAAACUUUUUCGUCAAAGGGGCACUUGACUCACAUAUGAUUUCAUGUGCUAACACACAGUUUUUACGAAGUGGAGUCAAAGAUCAAAGUCAUGAUUUCAUUCUAGAAUUUGUUUAACGGAUUUAUAGAAACUUGGAUUAAAAUUGACAAUAAUAUCUACCUGAAUCAUCAUAUUAGAAUCUUAAUGCCAAAGGAUAAUUAUAAAAUAAGGAACAAAAAUGAGGACAACAAUAAUUAAACAUUUUUGUUAAUUUGUACCCUUUCAUUAACUAAACUAAUACUCAUAAGUUUGUAAAUAAGUCAUAUUGAAAAAAAUUGUGCAUAUAUUAAAAUUAAGAAAGACUGCAUUAUUAUAAGUUAUAUUGAACAAAUUAACCAAAAUACUAACAAAUUCAACUCACAUGACAUGAAAAAUAAUAAUCUUGUAAAUAACAUUUAUGCAAAAAUUUUUUAAAAAAAUUGGCAUGAUAAUUCAGGCCACCAGAAAGCAAAUCAAAAUCCAAAUCUAACAAUCUCAAAUCCAAUUCACAUGGCAUGGAAAAUAAAAAUCUCGUUUUUCUUGGCAUGGCAAUUCAUGCCAACCAAAAUCCACAUAAAAAACAAAAAGGGUAAUCCCAUUCAGUUAUAGUUUUGAAUUUUUUCGCACUUAGGAAAAAAAUUAGUAACAACAAAUAAAAAAGCAAUAAGAGUACCAUUCAAAAUUUUGACACUUAUAGCGAAGUCUUUAGUUUUUGGUCAUAUUUUAUAUUUUCAAUUAUGAAUUUUACUUUCAGUUGGAAGAAGACACGUCACGACAAAGUAACCUAGAAUGACCCUCCUAUGGUUUUGCCAUAUGACCCCUCUAACGUUUCAAAAUGUCCACUUCACUCACUUAUAGUUUUAUAUAAAGUGAAAAUUUGAUCAAAAAUAAUUAUGUAACGUCGUUAGUUGAUAUAUCAAUAGUGCCCUUACUUAAAUGCUAAAUUAAUCAACGGCCUAACCACCAUGUAUAAAAAUAUAAGGGGAUUAUGUGAAUAAAUGCAAAAAUCAGAGAGACUAUAGUGAAUAUUUAUACAAAUCAUAAAUGGAUUAUAUGGAUAUUAAGGUUUUAUUACACGCGCUUUUAAAGAGCAUUUGGUAUAAACAUCGUAACUGAUUGUGUGUUCCAUCAAUUUUUUCACUUUACAUAAAAUCACAAGGGGGUUAUGUGAUUAUUUUAAAACCAUAGAGGAGUUAUCUAACAUUCUGUAAAAUCACAAGGGGGUAAUGAGUAAUUUGCCCCUAAAUUUACUAACAAAUCACAAGGUUAAAUUGUAAGUUUUCAAAUCAUAAUAGUUGAUAUAUACAAUCGCUCAGGCAUAGAACGGUUUCCAUAUUUCACAAAAGAUUUUCACUAAUGCCCUCCCUGUAUUCACAUUUAAUUGAGUGGAUGAGACAGAUGAAGCUAAAAUACCGAGAAUACAAUUUUCAUGCGAUCAAGUGUCAUCUGGAGACCAAAAAACAGAACAUUAACUUGAAAUUACUGAGCCAGGUGAAAGACAGUACUAAUCUUGCAUACACUAUUAGUGUAUCAACUAUUAGUUUUGAAUAAAUAACAACUAUAUCAAAUUUUAAUUUAAAAUUUAACCUUUAUACAUAUGUUAUGAUUCAACAGUAGGUCAGUGUACAUAUAAGACUUACUCGUGAAAGAUGUCCAAAAAAGAGAAUUUAGAUCACCGGAAAAAGAAACAAAAGAGAUAAAAAUUUACACCAAGCAGGAGUGGCUUGCAUAUUUACAAUCUGAAAUUUUGUGAAUGCAAGACUAGCUCUCCAUGACAAUCAAAUAGUUGAGAGAAUGAAAAAGAUUUUGAUCUUUUGCACAAAUUAUGCUCAGCUGAGAUUUUUUAAUUUCCAGGUCAGCUUGUGAAUUCUUCAAAUCCUGAAAUGUUCUUC